This is a long non-coding RNA of Salvia miltiorrhiza (redroot sage), 1286 nucleotides long. RefSeq lists it as uncharacterized. The record is from RefSeq and is a predicted model, not a curated record. The transcript is spliced from 4 exons. NCBI's taxonomy places the organism in Eukaryota, Viridiplantae, Streptophyta, Magnoliopsida, Lamiales, Lamiaceae.
GGUAUUAUGUGAUAAUAAUGUGGUCAACUCUCACUUUAUCCUAAGAACCUGGCUUAUUUUGUGGGAUUAACCCACACUAAUAAACCCACCCCCCCCAUCCGAUAAAUUUUAUACUGAUCUGUUUGAAUAAAAAAAUGUUACCCUUUCACGCCAAUCGAUGCAAGCAUAUGGUCGCCCAGCCCUAGUUCAUGCGCCUCCAUCAUUCACCAUUUUUCGAAUAUCUUUUCUCUCUUCCCAGCGGCAGUCCAGAAAAUUUUUACCAGAAGCGAGGGGUUGUCUAAUCUGGUAUUUGAGGAGACGGCGAUAAGGAAUUUCCCUGAUUCAGCGUUUCAGGCGCCGGCGAUAUAGUCAUCUUCCAUCUCACGUCUGAAGAUUUGAAGUUGCGGUAUCACAUCAACGAUUGGAGCACCAAGCUAUUCCUCCACAAAAGCAACAAAGGGGAAUUGCCACGAAGCACAAAUUCAGAGGACAACUCCUAUACAGAGGCAAUUGCAUUACCUGUUACAGCUGCUAUUACGACCGUUGUAUUGAAAAAUGCCUGGAAGGGAAGAUAGUCGAAUGCGUGAUAUUUCAUUCGUUGUUUUGCAAGAAAUUUUGCGCGUACAUGCGAUACAAGUUGCAUUGUUGUUUGUCUAUUAUUAUAAGACUAGACUAGGCAAAAGAAAGCGACGUACCGAACCCCUAAAAUAUGAGAUAAUAAGUAAGUUGUCCGACCAACAAAAACAUUUAAGCCGUCUAGUUGGUCUUAAUGAUGACGACUGUAUUUCCAACCUUCGAAUGGACCGUAGAACUUUUGCUAGGCUUUGUGUUAUAUUGCGAGAACGGGGGGGUUUAGUUAACGGCCGGUUCGUGACUGUUGAGGAACAAGUAGCAAUGUUUCUUUCGAUUUUAGCCCACCAUAAAAAGAAUAUAGUGGUCCGAUUUGACUUUUGGCGAUCCGGUCAAACAAUAUCGCACUAUUUACAUGUUGUAUUACGUGCUAUUAUACGUCUUCACGACUUGUUCCUGACCAAGCCUGAGGCUGUUCCGGCGGAUUGCAAUGAUCCACGGUGGCGGUGGUUCAAGGGUUGUUUAGGGGCCUUAGACGGCACGUAUGUGAGUGUCAUGGUUGGUAAUGAGGACAAACCACGAUAUAGAACGAGGAAAGGGUAAAUAUCUACCAAUGUUCUAGGUGUAUGUGAUCGCAAUCUGAACUUCAGUUACAUCUUAACGGGUUGGGAAGGUUCGGCUGCGGACUCUAGAAUCCUACGGGAUGCCAUAAGUAGACCUCACGGCCUUAAAGUCCC